Molecule: non-coding RNA, 30 nt
Filed under: Mus musculus (house mouse)
Lineage: Eukaryota; Metazoa; Chordata; Mammalia; Rodentia; Muridae
Source: RNAcentral
UAGUGUUCAAGGGCUGUGAAUUUGUUGCCU